GUCAUGGAGAGUUUGAUCCUGGCUCAGGACGAACGCUGGCGGCGUGCGUAAUACAUGCAAGUCGAGCGGACCU
RNAcentral lists this ribosomal RNA (73 nucleotides) under Sulfobacillus thermotolerans. RNAcentral's name for it is "partial 16S ribosomal RNA". It matches the Rfam family "Bacterial small subunit ribosomal RNA", at positions 1 to 73 of the family's 1533-position model. The record is from RNAcentral. Lineage: Bacteria; Bacillati; Bacillota; Clostridia; Eubacteriales; Clostridiales Family XVII. Incertae Sedis.